GAUGAACGCUGGCGGCGUGCCUAAUACAUGCAAGUCGAGCGAACAGACGAGGAGCUUGCUCCUCUGACGUUAGCGGCGGACGGGUGAGUAACACGUGGAUAACCUACCUAUAAGACUGGGAUAACUUCGGGAAACCGGAGCUAAUACCGGAUAAUAUAUUGAACCGCAUGGUUCAAUAGUGAAAGACGGUUUUGCUGUCACUUAUAGAUGGAUCCGCGCCGCAUUAGCUAGUUGGUAAGGUAACGGCUUACCAAGGCAACGAUGCGUAGCCGACCUGAGAGGGUGAUCGGCCACACUGGAACUGAGACACGGUCCAGACUCCUACGGGAGGCAGCAGUAGGGAAUCUUCCGCAAUGGGCGAAAGCCUGACGGAGCAACGCCGCGUGAGUGAUGAAGGUCUUCGGAUCGUAAAACUCUGUUACUAGGGAAGAACAAAUGUGUAAGUAACUAUGCACGUCUUGACGGUACCUAAUCAGAAAGCCACGGCUAACUACGUG
RNAcentral lists this ribosomal RNA (497 nucleotides) under uncultured bacterium. RNAcentral describes it as "partial 16S ribosomal RNA". It matches the Rfam family "Bacterial small subunit ribosomal RNA", at positions 28 to 507 of the family's 1533-position model. The record is from RNAcentral.